Lacerta agilis (Sand lizard) is the source of this 806-nucleotide long non-coding RNA. RefSeq lists it as uncharacterized. The transcript has 5 exons. NCBI's taxonomy places the organism in Eukaryota, Metazoa, Chordata, Lepidosauria, Squamata, Lacertidae. The record is from RefSeq and is a predicted model, not a curated record.
GGAGGAGCUUCUCGGGCAGGAGGGCUCGGAGGGAGCGUUGCUUGCUGAGGAGGCGAGAAACCGAAGGGGGAGAGCGAGCGAGCUUCUGAGGGCUCCCGCGGCAAUUUUGACCAGAAAUUAAGGAUGUGGUUCCUCAUAAGAGGGGCAGGUUUCGUCCAAGCCCUUGUUACUUCAAGAACACUUCCAAGAAGAAAAUACCUGGAUCCAGAAGCUGCUAUGAAUAUUAGCGAAAUUAUUUCAUUCAGAGGAUAUCCCAGUGAGGAAUAUGAAGUGGGAACAAAUGAUUGGUAUAUCCUGAGUAUUAACAGAAUCCCGAUGGGAGAAAGAAGUGGAACAGGGAGUUGAUGUAUAUUUCUCUCACAGUCCAGCUGGGUUAUCAGUCCAGACCAUGCUUCACUGGGCUCAGGGUGUGAAGACUGGGAAGUUCAAUGCCUUUGACUUGGGGUAGCAAGGGAGAAAAUCUGGCUCACUACAACCAGGUAAGAAUUUAUCAGUAAUUGCUCAUGUUCCUCCCUCUGUUUACAUAAUAGUAAAAAAUGGAAAUGUAUCACAAUAGCUACUGGUGACAAAGACUGCUGUCCAAACUUAAAUUAAUGUUAUAAUCAGGCUAAAUACUAAAUAUUUAGUUGACUAUAGAAACCUCUAUAAUACAGUAAUGGAAAUAGAUGAAGCCAUGAACUGAACACACACAAUAGAGCCACAAUGUGUGAGGAACCAUGCAAUAAUCUGAAUAAAAAGAAACAGCACAUGGGAUUCUCUCAAUGUUCUUCAGUUAGAUUUCCUAGAUAACUGAAAUGCAAAAUGUA